UACAGAGGGGGCAAGCGUUGUUCGGAAUUACUGGGCGUAAAGGGCGCGUAGGCGGCCCGCUAAGUCGAACGUGAAAUCCCCGGGCUCAACCCGGGAACUGCGUCCGAUACUGGGAGGCUUGAAUCCGGGAGAGGGAUGUGGAAUUCCAGGUGUAGCGGUGAAAUGCGUAGAUAUCUGGAGGAACACCGGUGGCGAAGGCGGCAUCCUGGACCGGUAUUGACGCUGAGGCGCGAAAGCCAGGGGAGCGAACGGG
Molecule: ribosomal RNA, 253 nt
Filed under: uncultured bacterium
Lineage: Bacteria
Description: partial 16S ribosomal RNA
Rfam family: Bacterial small subunit ribosomal RNA
Source: RNAcentral